This 371-nucleotide ribosomal RNA is filed under the name uncultured microorganism. Its description in RNAcentral is "bacterial SSU rRNA". It matches the Rfam family "Archaeal small subunit ribosomal RNA", at positions 330 to 708 of the family's 1478-position model. The record is from RNAcentral.
GCGCAGCAGGCGAGAAACUUUACAAUGUGCGAAAGCACGAUAAGGGAACUCUGAGUGCCUCCUAAGGAGGCUGUUCAGGUGUCUAAAAGCACCUGAAGGAAGGGCUGGGUAAGACCGGUGCCAGCCGCCGCGGUAACACCGGCAGCCCAAGUGGUAGCCACGUUUAUUGGGUCUAAAGCGUCCGUAGCCGGCUGGGUAAGUUCCUUGGGAAAUUUGGCUGCUUAACAGUCAAGCUUUCAGGGAAUGCUGCUCGGCUUGGGACCGGGAGAGGUCAGAGGUACUCCAGGGGUAGGGGUGAAAUCCAUUAAUCCUUGGGGGACCACCGGUAGCGAAGGCGUCUGACCAGACCGGGUCCGACGGUGAGGGACGAA